AUUGAACGCUGGCGGCAGGCUUAACACAUGCAAGUCGAGCGGGGGAAGGUAGCUUGCUACCGGACCUAGCGGCGGACGGGUGAGUAAUGCUUAGGAAUCUGCCUAUUAGUGGGGGACAACAUCUCGAAAGGGAUGCUAAUACCGCAUACGUCCUACGGGAGAAAGCAGGGGAUCUUUAUGACCUUGCGCUAAUAGAUGAGCCUAAGUCGGAUUAGCUAGUUGGUGGGGUAAAGGCCUACCAAGGCGACGAUCUGUAGCGGGUCUGAGAGGAUGAUCCGCCACACUGGGACUGAGACACGGCCCAGACUCCUACGGGAGGCAGCAGUGGGGAAUAUUGGACAAUGGGGGGAACCCUGAUCCAGCCAUGCCGCGUGUGUGAAGAAGGCCUUAUGGUUGUAAAGCACUUUAAGCGAGGAGGAGGCUCUUUUGGUUAAUACCCAAGAUGAGUGGACGUUACUCGCAGAAUAAGCACCGGCUAACUCUGUGCCAGCAGCCGCAGUAA
This 502-nucleotide ribosomal RNA is filed under the name uncultured bacterium. RNAcentral describes it as "partial 16S ribosomal RNA". It matches the Rfam family "Bacterial small subunit ribosomal RNA", at positions 30 to 523 of the family's 1533-position model. The record is from RNAcentral.